Molecule: unclassified non-coding RNA, 3984 nt
Filed under: Homarus americanus (American lobster)
Lineage: Eukaryota; Metazoa; Arthropoda; Malacostraca; Decapoda; Nephropidae
Description: procollagen-lysine,2-oxoglutarate 5-dioxygenase 1- like, transcript variant X4
Source: RNAcentral
GCAUUUCCCAAAUCGGGGGUCAAGUGUGAGACCCCGAAGUCUCGACGAAGACCUUACUGUGUCUUCCAUCAGGAUGUUAAUGUCCUGACCUCGAGUACACGUCCGAGGAAGACGAUCCCACCUACAGGCUUUGAGGAGUUCCUUGAAGGAGGCUGCGGCAGUGUUGAUACAAUAAACAAAACAACAGAAGGUAGAGAAACACGUCAACAGUCCCUCCCGUGACGACACAAGAUGCUGCACCGGGCGUUAGCAAUGACGUGCCUCGCCUUUCUGGCCUCGACGACCACAGCAGACGCGACGAUGGACGUGAGCUACGAGGUGAAGGAGGACCUGCUGGACUUGGACAUAGCUCUGGGGCUGGACACGGGCGUGGGCGUGAGGUGUGUGGAGGGGUUACCGCGCGGGGAGGACGGCCUGGAUUACUGUCGACCCCUCUCACCCCAGGACAGACUCCGCAUGAACAAGACCGCCACCAAUUUGUUGGUGUUGACGGUGAAGCGGCCUGGCAGUGAUGGCUUCAAGCGCUUCCUCAGAUCCACCAAAGUCUACGGAUACAAAGUUAAGGUCCUGGGAGAAGACCAGAAGGAGGUAGUGGAUGAGAAGACACACCUCCAGCUGCUGAGGGACACAUUUGACUCCCUUAGCCAAGAUGAGGACAGGGUCGUAUUGUAUACUGAGAGCGAGGAUGCCUUGUUUUCGGGUGGACCAGUUCGAGUGAUUGAGGAGUUCGAAGCUUCGGAUGCUGACGUUCUGAUCUCCGCCGAUGGGUUCUGUUGGCCAGAUAGAACCAUGGAGCCUAACUUCCCGAAGGUGGACCGAGGCAAGAGGUUCCUUAAUUCUGGCGGUUUUGUGGGUCGUGUGGGAACCAUUCACAAGCUUCUGUCACAGUCCUCAGAGGAGGCAUCACUACAGCUGCUGCUCACACUUGCCUACGUAAAGGACGCCACCAGGAACAAGUACAACCUCAAGCUGGACCACCUCUCUACCCUCUUCCAGAACCUGAAUGGUGCCACAGGUGACGUGGAGCUGCGGUUUGCAGGGAAGGAAGCCUACCUACAGAACACUCUGUACAACACUGUGCCUGUAGUGAUUCGGGGUAAUGGUCACACCAACCUCGUUCUCCACACUCUGGGGUCCUACCUGGCUCGUUCCUGGAAUCCUGAGGAUGGGUGCAGGUCCUGCUGGGACGACAUGCUCUCAUUAGAGGACAAGAAGGAGGAGGAACUGCCCAAGGUGACCUUGGCUGUGUUUGUUGAGAAAGCCACACCUUUCAUGGAGGAGUUCCUCGAUAAGAUCAACAGCUUGUUAUACCCCACCUCCAGGAUAGAUCUCUUUGUCCACAAUGUAGAAGAAUACCAUGAAGAGAUGAUCAAUGGCUGGAUAGAGGUAGUCGGGGAGGAGUUUGCCUCGGUCAAGUACAUCAAGCGGGAGGAGAAAGUGAAGGAAUGGCACGCCCGAAACACCGCCGUCGACUACUGUAUAGAGAGAGGCUGUGCUUACCUCUUAAUGGUCGACUCUGAGGCUCACCUGGACAAUCCCUUCAUAGUUAAACUCCUCAUUGAACAGAACAGGGAGGUAGUGGCACCUAUGAUGAUUCGACCCUAUAAGGCUUGGAGUAACUUCUGGGGCGCCAUCACUAACGACGGCUUCUACGCUCGGUCUAUGGACUACAUGGAGAUUGUCCAGAGUCAGAGAAGAGGGUUGUGGAAUGUGCCAUUCAUCAGUGGCUGCUACCUGCUGCGACGCUCACUGUUGGAUGACCCAGAUAAGAGACCUUCCUUCAUCAAGAACCUCCUUGACCCUGACAUGGCCCUCUGUGAGAACCUCAGAGAGAAGGGUGUCUUCAUGCACGUCAGUAAUCGUGUGGACUUCGGUCAUCUGGUCAACGCUGACAAGUUCGACACCUCCCAUAUGAAUAAUGAACUGUGGCAGGUUAUUGAGAAUCGUUGGGACUGGGAACACCGCUACCUCCACCCCAACUACUCUCAUGCCGUGGCUGAGAACACCACUGUGGAGAUGCCCUGCCCUGAUGUAUACUGGUUCCCACUCUUCAAGGAACGCUUUGCCAAGGAGAUGAUUGAAACCUUUGAAAACUUUGGGGUCUGGUCUGACGGCACAAAUAAUGACCCACGGCUUGAGGGCGGGUAUGAAUCGGUACCCACCAUAGAUAUCCACAUGAAGCAGGUGGGUAUGGAGCAGGAGUGGCUGGACAUCCUGCGGGUAUACAUACAGCCUAUACAGCUCAAGGUCUUCGAGGGUUACAACAACGACGCAGGACCCCCGCGAGCACUCAUGAACUUUAUGGUGCGCUACAAGCCUGAUGAACAGCCUCUCCUCAAACCUCACCACGACACCUCCACCUACACCAUCAACGUUGCACUCAACAAACCCGGAGUUGACUAUGAGGGUGGCGGCUGUCGAUUUGUGAGGUACGACUGCUCUGUCACGGAUUCUCGGGUGGGCUGGGUGUUGAUGCACCCUGGACGACUCACUCAUCUACACGAGGGCCUCAGAACUACAGCAGGAACAAGAUAUAUCAUCGUUUCAUUUGUUGAUCCUUAAACGUUCUGUAGUUUAUACACUUGUUCAAAGACAAGUUCAGCACAAACAUUACUUUAGCAGAUGAAUAGUAAAUAUAUUUAUAAGGUUAUAUUUAUUGCAUCUGUUUUCUCUUGCUCUUAUUGCUAUAAACAGUAGACUCUACCAUCUGCAGAGGCUGGGGGAAGAGGCCUCACAUACUGGUUAUUUUAGACAGUUAACGCUGUGAUGUGGUUGACGAGAAACACAAAUAAAGUGACAUUUAAUAUAUUUAAUAAUAUUGUACUAUAAUACCCGAAUAAUAUUGUACUAUAAUACCCAUCCUCCUCCAAAAGUAACCACGCCAUACAGAUGCCGUGGCAACACAAAAAAAAGUUAACCAACCAAACAAAAACUUACGAUCUUCCUCAUUCCUAAACUUCAAGAAAUUCUUAUUUUAUCUACCAGCAUUAGGUCACCCACAAGCGCUCUUUAGUAACUGACAUCCUUAGUCCUACAUUCUUUUUGACCGUAAUCUGGUACAUGGUAACAAUUCACAUCAGUGUGAGAAUCUUAAGUGGUCCUUUCGUUGGUGCAGAGUCCGGAGGUAAUAUUGUACAGUACUACACUUGUUCCCGCCCUCCUUCACAUACUUCUCUCCUGUUUAAUAAGCAACAUGUUUUCUUUCCUUUACUUUCAUCCUCAAUAACGAAAACACCACCACCGAUCAUUUGGAAACCAUGGUACUCACUUGACUGUAUAAAUGAUAGUAGUUGGUACAACACUUGUAUUGUACAGUAAUUUAAUAUUUGCAAGUUCGAAUCUCAGUCAGAGAGGACUAGUUUCCCUCAUACACUCACCAAUAAGUAAUGUACGCUAUCAGGCUCUCUAUGAUCUCAAAAGAACACUUAGGUGGACUAGCAUCUACCAAGAGAUUACUCAACUCCCUAGUUAUUGAAAGCAGAGCCAGGUCAGUACUGUGAAGGUAUCUGCCUGGCCACUGCACCACAAGAGAGGGAUUUAUAGAGUAUGAAUGUUGUAAAAUAUGGUUAUUAAAUCUCCAGUAUAGAAUCCUACUGUUGGCUGGACAUGCACUACUGUACUUGCCAUACGAGACACUGAAGAAGUUGGACCAACACUUCUAAUCUUUAAAUGGCCAAAACAAUUUAUCUUUAUCAACUUUUAGUAUUUAAUAUUGAUUAAUACAGAUAGUAGUCACCCUGGGACGGUGGACAGUACUGGGUUGACCAAAAUACACGACUCGUAUAUAGCACAGUACAAUAUGCCCUAAGUUAUAGAGCAGAUAGUAGAGUUUAUUGGGAUUUCUUGGUAAAUUUUAUUUUUUUAUAUAUGCCAAACAAUAAACAAUUCUAAUAUUUUAAUCUUUGGCACAACAGAGGUUAUCAAUUUUAUAUUGUUCCUUAUUUUAUGUGAUAAAAUAUUUAUAAUAAAACUUAAAAUAUUUAA